GAAAAUAUGUCGGUUACAGGUGCUGAGGCUUAAUAGGGAAUCCUGUGGAAUACAGGAGCGGUCCCGCCGCUGUGACCCCACCCUCUAAAAAGGGAACUCUUUGGCUCUAUAAAGCCACUGUCCUGAAUUUAUGGAUGGGAAGGUAGCCAAAGGGCGGGGAAGCCAGAAGACCUGCCUGUAGUCGUGAUCGGUA
Molecule: non-coding RNA, 193 nt
Filed under: Nitrospirota bacterium
Lineage: Bacteria; Pseudomonadati; Nitrospirota
Source: RNAcentral